Molecule: unclassified non-coding RNA, 603 nt
Filed under: Hevea brasiliensis (rubber tree)
Lineage: Eukaryota; Viridiplantae; Streptophyta; Magnoliopsida; Malpighiales; Euphorbiaceae
Source: RNAcentral
GAAAAAUACAAUACUUCAAUUGAAGAGUGUAAGAGAUACAACAUCAAAAGAAGUAGUUAAAUUCAUUAAAGUUUGAUUAUAGUAUGACAAAAAAAAAAUAAUAGACAAAAAUUAAAGAGACAUUCCAGAUUCUUCAUCUUCAUCAAGUCCAGAAGUGUAAACAGUGUAGAGAGACCAAAUCAAACCAAAUACACCUAAAAGGAUCCAACCAAGAAGAUUGUUGCUGAGUCCAAAUGGUAGCCCUGUUCCUUCAGUGCUCAUUCUUUCAUCAACCAAAGCCAUUGCUACUGGGCUUGACAUGCUUGCUGCUACUGCUGCUGCCAUCAAUGAUUCUCCCAUUCCCAACUUUGAUUCACCCUUUCCCUUUCCUUCCAUUGAACAUUUCACUUUUCCACCCUUGCUCAUUGAUGGUAAUCCAAGAACAACUGAGGUGCGAGAUACAGAUCCCCUUUGCACGAGGGCGGCACGCGCCACCGAAGAAGUUGUGGUGCAAGCAGUGAUGGUUGCCAUUUCUGUAUUAGUGAGAGAGAAUGAUCACAACUUCUAACUUUUUUUUGUUGAUAGGGCUAUUAUCAACUCAGUUUAUUUCAUACACAACCUACA